AAAGAAAGGAAAAAAAGGAAGAAGAAAGAAAGAAAAAAGAUAAAUCGAUAUCAACGGUAUCAUGUUCUAAUUUCCCUUUCUUAUAAUACCUUUCAGAAAAUUGCAAAUACUUCUUUGAGGAUUGUCUUAAUAAUAUAUUGUAAGUUUCAUUUUUAUUAUUUUUAUUCUUAUUUUAACAUAAAAUAGCAUAACAUUGGACAAGAUAGUCAAGUACAACAUGCAUCAAUGUGAUCAUGGGUUUAGUUAAUUGGACUGCUCGGAAUUUCUUUCAAAAUCUAACCAUAAAUAUUUGUUAAGUGUGUUGGUUGAGUGUGUUAUUAUAUUGUGUUAUUAUUUUCCAUUACGAAACUUCCUUUUACAUGCCAUUUGACAAGGAUGUACAAUGUGUACGCACUAGUCACUAGCAUUAAAAUAUUGAAAGUUGACUUGAAAUCCAUGAGCAGAAUUUUAGGUUUC
Molecule: unclassified non-coding RNA, 456 nt
Filed under: Hevea brasiliensis (rubber tree)
Lineage: Eukaryota; Viridiplantae; Streptophyta; Magnoliopsida; Malpighiales; Euphorbiaceae
Source: RNAcentral